GCCCAAGAGAUCGGGAUAACACCUGGAAACAGAUGCUAAUACCGGAUAACAACAGAUGAUGCCUAUCAACUGUUUAAAAGAUGGUUCUGCUAUCACUCUUGGAUGGACCUGCGGUGCAUUAGCUAGUUGGUAGGGUAACGGCCUACCAAGGCGAUGAUGCAUAGCCGAGUUGAGAGACUGAUCGGCCACAUUGGGACUGAGACACGGCCCAAACUCCUACGGGAGGCAGCAGCG
RNAcentral lists this ribosomal RNA (234 nucleotides) under uncultured Lactobacillus sp. Its description in RNAcentral is "partial 16S ribosomal RNA". It matches the Rfam family "Bacterial small subunit ribosomal RNA", at positions 128 to 356 of the family's 1533-position model. The record is from RNAcentral. Lineage: Bacteria; Bacillati; Bacillota; Bacilli; Lactobacillales; Lactobacillaceae.